GCGUAUCGCUCGUACACUCCGGUUCUGAGCGCGCCGCCCACGCCCACCUAACGACUGCUCGCCACGUUGUGUUGGCC
This 77-nucleotide small RNA is filed under the name Xanthomonas euvesicatoria pv. alfalfae. RNAcentral describes it as "sX9 sRNA". It matches the Rfam family "Xanthomonas sRNA sX9". The record is from RNAcentral. Lineage: Bacteria; Pseudomonadati; Pseudomonadota; Gammaproteobacteria; Lysobacterales; Lysobacteraceae.